This 520-nucleotide ribosomal RNA is filed under the name uncultured bacterium. Its description in RNAcentral is "bacterial SSU rRNA". It matches the Rfam family "Bacterial small subunit ribosomal RNA", at positions 120 to 674 of the family's 1533-position model. The record is from RNAcentral.
GGGAAUCUACCCAGAUCUACGGAACAACAGAGGGAAACUUCUGCUAAUACCGUAUACGCCCUACGGGGGAAAGAUUUAUCGGAUUUGGAUGAGCCCGCGUAAGAUUAGCUAGUUGGUGAGGUAAUGGCUCACCAAGGCGACGAUCUUUAGCUGGUCUGAGAGGAUGAUCAGCCACACUGGGACUGAGACACGGCCCAGACUCCUACGGGAGGCAGCAGUGGGGAAUAUUGGACAAUGGGCGCAAGCCUGAUCCAGCCAUGCCGCGUGAGUGAUGAAGGCCUUAGGGUUGUAAAGCUCUUUCAGUGGGGAAGAUAAUGACGGUACCCACAGAAGAAGCCCCGGCUAACUUCGUGCCAGCAGCCGCGGUAAUACGAAGGGGGCUAGCGUUGUUCGGAUUUACUGGGCGUAAAGCGCACGUAGGCGGUUUGUUAAGUCAGAGGUGAAAUCCUGGAGCUCAACUCCAGAACUGCCUUUGAUACUGGCAAGCUCGAGUCCGGAAGAGGUAAGUGGAACUCCUAGU